GAAGAUUUUAAAAAUUCAACAUACUUAUAGAUGGUUUCUCUUUAACUGUUUUGAUUUGAGAAUUUUCAGAGACAUGAAUUUUAUUCCUUAUUUCUUUCUGCCUCUGGUGGGAUCUCUCCAUAAAUGAUUUUUUCCUCUUUAUAAAUGCUUCUUGUAAGCUCCCUGGUACAGGUGUAAGCCUGCGAGGGGUUUCUGCUGGGGGAAAAGAAAUUUAUGACAGAAAUAGGCAAAGUAUCUACUUUCCAUUAGAAGUGUGGAGGCCGUCCAAGGCUUACCUGUAGAUGCUGUCCUUGGUUUUUCUAUGGAAAGUUCUGAUACAGCUGGAUAAUCUGAGGCUUCUGUUGCUGAUACAAGAGGCAGAAACUCACUCACCUAAUGGCAAGAAAGUUGCAUGUUUUACUCUUUUUAAACGCUUUAAGCGGGUCUUGCUCUGCUGUCAGAUUAGAGUGCAGCGGCAUGAUCACACCUCACUGCAGCCUCAAUCUUAGCUGGGUCUACAGAGACCCGCCACCAUGCCUGAUUUUUGUAUUUUUUGUAGGGAUUGGGUUUUGCCUUGUUGCCCAGGCUGGUCUUGAACUGGGCUUAGGCUCCACUGCCCUCACACCUCUAGGCCUCUGUUUAGAUAGCUUUAUUCUUAUUGCCUCCCUACUCCCCUAGUAAAAUUACCAGUUGUUCUGAAGUCAUUUUUCAAUAUCUGGGAAUAAGUUUAGGUAAAACUUCCAACUUGGCACUAUAACACUAGGUGUAUAAGAUUAGUUCUGCCAGUCUUGGAGACAGGCAUAAAUUGGAGUGGGGAUUAAAAGAAAAUGCACAAUGGUUGACAGAAUAGUGAAGGUUUAAGACAAAUUGAGAGCUGGUGGGGGUGUCGGCUUAGUUAAAUGCAUAGCAUAAUUCCCUCCAAUGAGUACCUUCUGAUAAGUUGUAAGAGACAAAUCAACUGGUUUGCUUGUAAUAGAAUAAAAUAGAAGGAAAGCUUAAAUUUACCUGAAAGAAGCAUUUUGCUUCAUUCUCGCUCUUCUCUUCUAGGGUUAAAUUUGCAAAAUCCAUUUCAGCAAUACUGGUAUCAGUGGUGCUUAUUAAAGUAAGUUCUGGUUCUUCCAUUAUACCAUGGCCAGUUUCUGUUUCCUGUGAACCACAAUUAAAAGGAAAACCAUGUCAAAAUAGCCUUAAAAGACUUAAACUAAUCGUUUUGUAUAUAAUGCACAUUUUUUGCAAGUGUAUAUAAAUGUGAAAAUGGAGGAAGAAAAGCAAUGAUUGGCAAAGACCAACAGAUCAGAUUUCCUUAGGCUUCCAUAACUCCAGCAUUCAGUUGUAGAAAUACUGGAGCCUACUUUGGGGAGGGGAUGAAAUAGUGUGACAAUGGACUGAAAGGUAUCUACCACAAUGAUUACAAACCUAAAUGCUUGUAGUGUUGGGCAAAAAAUAUAAAUGCAGGUUGGCUGUGCCGAAUUGUAUCCUUUAAAGGGAGCAGGGGUCGACUGGGCUGCUACCAAAUGUGGGCCACUGACUGCUAACAGAUAAUGUUUCAAAAGUAUCUAAACACAACAAGAACAAAAGCAGCCACAUAAAACGUGGUUUAGUUGUAAUUCUUAUUUUCAAUCUGUUAUGUUUAUUUGUGGAAGGAUAAACUGCACAUACUGCUAGAUGAAAACCAGUCACCAGUUGACUGGUGUUGAAAGCAAGCAGAUUAUAAGUUGCUUAAUAUGAGGAGCAGGUUUCCAAUACUUAUUCCAAUAAUGGAUGAAUUCAUUGCACUGGAAUGAGGCUCAACACUGAAAGUGCUGAAGCACAGGCAGAACCACCAUUUUUCAGGGAAGUUGGAGAAAGGAUAUCUGAAUUGGGAGAAAAAGGAUCUUUUGUAAAAUACUCUCAGAAGACAGUUUUCAAAUUUUUAAGUUUCUGCAUUAUGCUGGAUAUUUCUAGUGAUCACAAGCUGGAUAGCAAUAUUAACAAGCAGUUUUGCUUGUAUUUUGUUUCAGGUUUUUCCUGCCAGGCAUUGUGGUGUGUCCAAACUACUUCGGAAGUUGAGGCAGGAGGAUCCCUUGAUCCUAGGAGUUUGAGUUCAGCCUGGGUAGCAUAGUGGGAACUUCAUCUCUAAUUUUAGAAGAAAAAAGUUUUUUCCCAAAAAGGAAUUUAAAUGUUAUUUAUACAACACUGAUUUCACUUACCCAGACUGGUAUAGAGCUCUGUAAUGAAAAUGAUCCAGAACUUGCAAAAAGCUCUGAUUCUCCUAGUUGAGAUAGUUUUUUGGUGAUUUUUGGAAUGUCUGUUUCAGCUGAAUUCUCAAAAUAUUUUUCAUUUUGAGUAGUUAAGGAAUAUGGUGCCUGAAUUGAAGUUCCCAUCUCCACUGUUCUUACACAUAAUCGAGAGUCAGUUUCCUCUACCUGUGGAUUUAUGUCUAAAACCCUACAGGUUUCAUUUUUAUUAUCUUCAAUGAGUCCUUGACUUUGUAACAUUGUAACAACCCCUCUUUUUGAUAGUUCUUCAAAGCCCAUACUUUCCUUUCUGCUUUCUAGUUGGUGUUUUGUUGAGCACUCACUAGAGUUAGAACCACAUGGAGUGCUAUGCUGUACAUUUAACUGAUCAAAUACAUUAGCUUCAUCAGAUGAACUGUAGACUGAACUUAAGUUUCCUAUAGAAAGCUGGAAAUGAACAAUUUUUUUCUUGUUUUGUAAUAUUUCAGUAUGUUCUUCAGAGGGAUAGUUCUGAUUUUUCAUGCCUUGGGAAGAAUCUCUUGCUUCAAUGCUAAAAAUACUUGGUAGAUCAGCAUGCUGGCUCUCCUCCUGUGAAGAAUAUUCUGGCUGAAGCUGUUCAAAACAUUGUUCAGAUCCUGCAUUAAGAAAUUCAAAAAUCAGUUAAUCAUCGUUACAUGUUGUAAAAGUUGGAUACUGACAGUCUCUAAUAGUUUAUCAUCCAAUUGCAAGUAACCUACAAUUUUAGGCAUAAAAGUUGAUGUGUAUAAACAUGAAUACAAAGAUAAGGAUGGUCACAGUGAUUUCUCAAACUACAGCUCACACCAAGUAUUUUUUCUUUUUCUAUUAAUAUUUAAUAAGGACAAUAUGGCUAUAAACUGAGGAUGUUUUCCUCUAUAAGAACUGAAUAUGACUUUAAUAACAGAAAAGAGAAUAAAGCAUCCAUGUGUAUCUCAAUUA
This 3152-nucleotide long non-coding RNA is filed under the name Homo sapiens (human). RNAcentral's name for it is "non-protein coding lnc-TAF1D-1:1". Lineage: Eukaryota; Metazoa; Chordata; Mammalia; Primates; Hominidae. The record is from RNAcentral.